GGAUUCGAAUGGGGGAACCCUGACGCAGCACGCCGCGUGGAGGAUGAAGUCCUUCGGGACGUAAACUCCUUUCGACCGGGACGAUAAUGACGGUACCGGAAGAAGAAGCCCCGGCUAACUUCGUGCCAGCAGCCGCGGUAAUACGAGGGGGGCGAGCGUUGUUCGGAAUUAUUGGGCGUAAAGGGUGCGUAGGCGGUUUGGUAAGUCUGAUGUGAAAUCUAUGGGCUCAACUCAUAGCUUGCAUCGGAAACUGCCGGGCUGGAGUGUGGGAGAGGUGAGUGGAAUUUCCGGUGUAGCGGUGAAAUGCGUAGAUAUCGGAAGGAACACCUGUGGCGAAAGCGGCUCACUGGACCAUAACUGACGCUGAUGCACGAAAGCUAGGGGAGCAAACAGGAUUAGAUACCCUGGUAGUCCUAGCCCUAAACCAUGACUGCUUGGUGUGACGGGUACCCAAUCCCGCCGUGCCGUAGCUAACGCGUUAAGCAGUCCGCCUGGGGAGUACGGUCGCAAGGCUGAAACUCAAAGAAAUUGACGGA
This 536-nucleotide ribosomal RNA is filed under the name uncultured bacterium. RNAcentral's name for it is "bacterial SSU rRNA". It matches the Rfam family "Bacterial small subunit ribosomal RNA", at positions 358 to 917 of the family's 1533-position model. The record is from RNAcentral.